UAUGUUAAAAGUAGAGGUAGUGAAAUAACAUUUUGUAGAUAUCCUUUUGUUAAAAUUCAUAUGAAAUAUUGCCUUUUAGAAAUGGAAUAAUCAAACCACCUCUUUGAGCAGUGCACAUUAUUUUAUUUGUGCUGGUUCAAGGAGGAAGAAAAAAGUACAAAGGGCUUUAUACCAAUAUGUUUAUAGUUAGGAGAGAUUAACCAUCGUCCUGUAUGUCUGUGUUUUGCUUUACUUAGUUGUGUAUAUAGUGUACAUAAAGGACAGAUGUCCAAAUUUACAUCUAGUCUUCCUAGAUGUUAAAGAGGUUGCCAAUGUAUGACAAAAGUAGUUAGAAAAUAAAUACAUUGUGAAUACUUUGUUAAAAUUCAUACGAAAAAUUGUUCUGAAAGCAACUGGAGGAGAUGAAAUUGUUAGAAUCCCCUCUAAGCAUUUCAGAUGCUUUAUUACACUUGCUUACUAGGUUGAUAGAGAUGAGAAGGGGAAGGGUUCUAGGCCCGUGUUCCUGUUUAGAAGACACUUUGAGAUUAUAGCCUUUGUGUGCAGUUUAUUCAAUACUACAUGUAUGUAUAGUAAACUAAAAUCCUUAUUUGAAACAUCUAGUCUUUCUAGAUGUUUAAAAGUGUACAACAUAUGCUAAAAGUAGAUAAUUAACACCUUUUAAGAUUUUUUUCUGUUAAUUCAUAGGAAUGGUCAUAUUUGGGGAAUGGGAUUGUUAAACUUGAGCCUUGGAGAGUAUGCUGACUGAUGACUGGGGUGGUGGCGGUUGGGGGGGACAGGGAAGGAAGCUCAGAGAAGGGUUCUGUGCUCAUGAGUCUUUAGAAAGCUUCAGAUUUUCUAACCAUUGUUCUGUUUGUGUGUUUGAGUUAAUAUUGCUGUGUAUUAAAGAAUAAACAAGUCCCAGUGUCCAAAGUAUAUUGAAAGUAGAAGUAGUAAAAUAAUUCCUUUAUAAAUGCCCUUUUGUGGGUUUUUAGGAAGGGCUAUGACUUCUGGGAGUGUCUAUGUUAAUCCACCUUUUGUAGCUAGAUGUAGUCCUGUAGUUAGUCACUGAAAUGCUGGAAGAGGGUUAAGAGGAAGGGUGAAGGGAAGGGCUCUUGGCUAUUAUCUCCAUAUCUAGACAGUUUUAGUUUAUAACCAUAGGUCUAUAUGUGCAUUUUUGUAAAGUUUCUGUUUAUUGUGGACAAGGUUCAUUCUUUAUCUUGCAACAUCUAUGUCUCAAGAUAACAUAUGAUAAAAAGUAGAGUUAGUGAGUUAACUAAUUUGUAAAUAAAUAUCUUUGUUACAAUGAUAUAAAACAGCAUCUUGGACAUGAAUUGUUAAAGUCUCAGAAAUGUAUGUCAGGACUUGUUCACUAGGUUGGCAGCAGAGGGGCAGAAGGAAAGUAUAAAGGGAGGGUUGUAUGCGAAUGUGUUCAUAUUUAUAUUUUGGUGAUAACCAUUGAUGUGGGUGCAUCUUUUGGCUGUAAUAUAAGCAAUUCAGUGGAAACAUACCUCCUUGCUAAUAUUUUAAUAGUUUGGAUAAUUAGUCCUCUUAGAGGCAUUAUACUUUAUGUACUCUGUUGCUUUAUGUGUCAUUUUUAAUUGAACAUAAGGGAAUGUAGUAUUUUAAUCAUAACUCUACCAAUAUCUUUAUCUUGAAGCCUGUUGCUAUUUUUGUCUUUUAUGUAAUUUUAUCGCUAAGAAAGGCAGGAUUACAUUUUUUUUCCUUCCAGAUCGAGUUGGUGUAGUAUAUUCUUGGUUAUCAAAAUAAAAUACUCAUAUAGCUUUGGGACUUUGAAAUGGUAAAUAUUCAUGAUGUGUGAAAAAGCAUGAUACAUAACUAUGAUCUUAAUUACAUAAAAAUGGAUGCUUCAUUGUGUAGAUACACAAACGAAAUCUAGAAGGACAUAUCAACCUGUAAACUGCUUGAUUAUGGAUGACUUUGUUUUUUGCUUCCUAUUUGCUUGUGUUUUUCAGUUUCCUAUUAUGCACAUGUUAACUUUUAAGAAAUAAAUUUUA
This 1994-nucleotide long non-coding RNA is filed under the name Sus scrofa (pig). RNAcentral's name for it is "lncRNA (ENSSSCG00050064970.1)". The record is from RNAcentral. Lineage: Eukaryota; Metazoa; Chordata; Mammalia; Artiodactyla; Suidae.